GAUGAACGCUAGCGGCAGGCUUAAUACAUGCAAGUCGAGGGGCAGCACGGGUAGCAAUACCUGGUGGCGACCGGCAAACGGGUGCGGAACACGUACGCAACCUUCCCAAAACUGGUGAAUAGCCCUCCAAAAGGAGGAUUAAUACACCGUAACAUAUAAAGAUGGCAUCACCUUUAUAUUAUAGCUCCGGCGGUUUUGGAUGGGCGUGCGCCUGAUUAGGUAGUUGGCGGGGUAACGGCCCACCAAGCCUGCAAUCAGUAACUGGUGUGAGAGCACGACCAGUCACACGGGCACUGAAACACGGGCCCAACUCCUACGGGAGGCAGCAGUAAGGAAUAUUGGUCAAUGGACGCAAGUCUGAACCAGCCAUGCCGCGUGAAGGAUGACGGCCCUCUGGGUUGUAAACUUCUUUUAUCUGGGACAAAAAAAGGGAAUUCUUUCCCACUUGACGGUACCAAAGGAAUAAGCACCGGCUAACUCCGUG
Molecule: ribosomal RNA, 484 nt
Filed under: uncultured bacterium
Lineage: Bacteria
Description: bacterial SSU rRNA
Rfam family: Bacterial small subunit ribosomal RNA
Source: RNAcentral